CCACGCCGUAAACGAUGAGUGCUAGGUGUUGGGUCCUUUCCGGGACUCAGUGCCGUAGCUAACGCAUUAAGCACUCCGCCUGGGGAGUACGACCGCAAGGUUGAAACUCAAAGGAAUUGACGGGGGCCCGCACAAGCGGUGGAGCAUGUGGUUUAAUUCGAAGCAACGCGAAGAACCUUACCAGGUCUUGACAUCCCAGUGACCGUCCUAGAGAUAGGAUUUUUCUUCGGAACACUGGAGACAGGUGGUGCAUGGUUGU
This 259-nucleotide ribosomal RNA is filed under the name uncultured bacterium. RNAcentral's name for it is "partial 16S ribosomal RNA". It matches the Rfam family "Bacterial small subunit ribosomal RNA", at positions 795 to 1052 of the family's 1533-position model. The record is from RNAcentral.